RNAcentral lists this ribosomal RNA (173 nucleotides) under uncultured bacterium. RNAcentral describes it as "partial 16S ribosomal RNA". It matches the Rfam family "Bacterial small subunit ribosomal RNA", at positions 334 to 524 of the family's 1533-position model. The record is from RNAcentral.
UACUCCUACGGGAGGCAGCAGUGGGGAAUAUUGGACAAUGGGGGAAACCCUGAUCCAGCGACGCCGCGUGAGUGAAGAAGUAUUUCGGUAUGUAAAGCUCUAUCAGCAAGGAAGAAAAUGACGGUACUUGACUAAGAAGCCCCGGCUAACUACGUGCCAGCAGCCGCGGUAAU